RNAcentral lists this ribosomal RNA (253 nucleotides) under uncultured bacterium. RNAcentral's name for it is "partial 16S ribosomal RNA". It matches the Rfam family "Bacterial small subunit ribosomal RNA", at positions 524 to 776 of the family's 1533-position model. The record is from RNAcentral.
UACGAAGGGGGCCAGCGUUGUUCGGAAUUACUGGGCGUAAAGCGCACGUAGGCGGACUUUUAAGUCAGGUGUGAAAUCCCGGGGCUCAACCUCGGAACUGCAUUUGAAACUGGAAGUCUUGAGACCAGGAGAGGUUAGCAGAAUACCGAGUGUAGAGGUGAAAUUCGUAGAUAUUCGGUGGAACACCAGUGGCGAAGGCGGCUAACUGGACUGGUACUGACGCUGAGGUGCGAAAGUGUUGGGAGCAAACAGG